RNAcentral lists this ribosomal RNA (253 nucleotides) under uncultured bacterium. RNAcentral's name for it is "partial 16S ribosomal RNA". It matches the Rfam family "Bacterial small subunit ribosomal RNA", at positions 524 to 776 of the family's 1533-position model. The record is from RNAcentral.
UACAGAGGUCUCAAGCGUUGUUCGGAUUCAUUGGGCGUAAAGGGUGCGUAGGCGGCGCGGUAAGUCGGGUGUGAAAUCUCGGAGCUUAACUCCGAAACUGCAUUCGAUACUGCCGUGCUUGAGGACUGGAGAGGAGACUGGAAUUUACGGUGUAGCGGUGAAAUGCGUAGAUAUCAGGAGGAACACCGGCGGCGAAGGCGGCCCUCUGGAUCGUUGCUGACGCUGAGACGCGAAAGCGUGGGGAGCAAACAGG